RNAcentral lists this ribosomal RNA (328 nucleotides) under uncultured eukaryote. RNAcentral's name for it is "partial 18S ribosomal RNA". It matches the Rfam family "Eukaryotic small subunit ribosomal RNA", at positions 1470 to 1796 of the family's 1831-position model. The record is from RNAcentral.
CCCUUAGAUGUUCUGGGCCGCACGCGCGCUACACUGAUGCAUUCAACGAGUCUAAAACCUGCUCUGAUAGGGGUGGGUAAUCUUUUGAAUGUGCAUCGUGAUUGGGAUAGAUGAUUGCAAUUUUUCAUCUUCAACGAGGAAUGCCUAGUAGGCGCAAGUCAUCAGCUUGCGUCGAUUACGUCCCUGCCCUUUGUACACACCGCCCGUCGCUCCUACCGAUUGGGUGUGCUGGUGAAAUGUUCGGAUCGGCCGUUUGUCGCGGUUUCCGCGGCUCGUGGCUGAGAAGUUCAUUAAACCCUCCCACCUAGAGGAAGGAGAAGUCGUAACA